Molecule: unclassified non-coding RNA, 17 nt
Filed under: Mus musculus (house mouse)
Lineage: Eukaryota; Metazoa; Chordata; Mammalia; Rodentia; Muridae
Description: oocyte_clustered_small_RNA14004
Source: RNAcentral
GCCAUGGAGGGGCUCUG